AACAGUGUGGUGUAGUGGUUUGAGCACUGGACUACAACUCUGGAGACCAGGGUUUGAUUCCCCACAGGGUGA
This is a non-coding RNA of Phrynosoma platyrhinos (Desert horned lizard), 72 nucleotides long. The record is from the annotation of a GenBank genome assembly. NCBI's taxonomy places the organism in Eukaryota, Metazoa, Chordata, Lepidosauria, Squamata, Phrynosomatidae.